Erpetoichthys calabaricus (reedfish) is the source of this 449-nucleotide long non-coding RNA. RefSeq lists it as uncharacterized. The record is from RefSeq and is a predicted model, not a curated record. Lineage: Eukaryota; Metazoa; Chordata; Cladistia; Polypteriformes; Polypteridae. The transcript has 3 exons.
AAAAGCGGUCAGUCUAAAAAAAAAAUCUCAAAAACUCACACAACCUUCGAAAUGGAUAGAAGGAAAGGGUCUAAAAUGAGGGUGCUGUACGACUGAAGCCAGGAUAUUUUCUUAUGUGUGAGGGUCUCUGUGGGUUGGAGCCAAAGCCAAUGCUGGCCAUCAUCAAGCCCAAGGCAGGAAGCCUCUCUGGACAGGGUGCAAGUCUACUGCAGAUAUGCUAUAACAGAGGUGAACUCAGAUGAGAAUGAAGGUUCUACAUUGGAGAAAGAGAACAGAAGCCGUCCCCACAAGAAAUGUCCACUCACACAUAAGAACAGUGCAGCUGCACCACGCGUAAAGGCGAGAGAUGGCACAGCACCAUUUGGAUGCAGCAAGAGGUCAGGCCUCGUCCUGCCAGUGAAUAUGCCACACGCAUGUUCUUCAACGAAACAGAAGGGCUGACAGAGCUC